GAACUACCACCGCUGCCUGAAGACAUCGAUGAUGAUGAAGAUUCUGUGAAAAGUAUAAGAUUGGUCAAGAAUAAGGAGCCACUGGCUUGAUUCAUGUUGGGGAUGAACUGAAGAAGGUCAAUGGAAUCCCUGCGGAUGACAAUAACUGGAGGAAAUCAUUCAUAUUCUGAUGCUUAUUCUGGUACUCUGGCUAUGAUCCAGGAAGGAUGACAAAGCCAUCCCAUGUAAGGAAGCUGGUUUGGCCUUCAAGAAGGGUUGCAUCCUACAGAUCAUGAGCCAAGAUGAUGCAACCUGGUAGCAGGACAAACGCGCGGGUGACACAAAUCCUGGUGCUGGCUUAAUACCAUCCAAACAGUUCCAGGAGAG
Molecule: long non-coding RNA, 366 nt
Organism: Oreochromis aureus
Lineage: Eukaryota; Metazoa; Chordata; Actinopteri; Cichliformes; Cichlidae
Source: Ensembl